This 267-nucleotide ribosomal RNA is filed under the name uncultured soil bacterium. Its description in RNAcentral is "partial 16S ribosomal RNA". It matches the Rfam family "Bacterial small subunit ribosomal RNA", at positions 26 to 280 of the family's 1533-position model. The record is from RNAcentral.
AGAAUCAACGCUGGCGGCGUGCCUAACACAUGCAAGUCGAACGCGAAGACCCCGCAAGGGGUUGGUAGCGUGGCAAACGGGUGAGUAACGCGUGGGCGACCUACCUCAGAGUGGGGGAUAACCUUCCGAAAGGGAGGCUAAUACCGCAUGACAUCCCGUGUUUAGAUACACGGUGAUCAAAGCCGGGGAUCGCAAGACCUGGCGCUUGGAGAGGGGCCCGCGUCCGAUUAGCUAGUUGGUGGGGUAACGGCUCACCAAGGCUCCGAU